RNAcentral lists this long non-coding RNA (449 nucleotides) under Bemisia tabaci. RNAcentral's name for it is "lncRNA ENSSSA3NGG000990". Lineage: Eukaryota; Metazoa; Arthropoda; Insecta; Hemiptera; Aleyrodidae. The record is from RNAcentral.
UGUGUAUUCAGAAUGUGUCUAAUUUUUUUUUAGUUUUCCACUGCCUCUUGGCUGAAGUUUCAUUCUUAUAUGUAGAAUGGCAGAUGUUUACAUGUGUUAAAUCAUUUGACAUACUUAUUGAACUCUCUCUUGUUUCAGAAUCAAUUAGAUGAAAAACACAUUAUUAAAUUGACUGUCAAAUGGCUAUCUGGAGGCUUAAAUGCUGGAAACCCAGAACACGCACAAUAUCUAUCCUCGGUGAAAGAAAAACUAGAUAAAUAUCUGAAUAGCAUCGUCGAAUCUAUAAUACAAGAAGAUCAGGCGAAGAGUGUAUUUACAUCGCAGUUUGGAAUCGACAAAUCCUUGUUCAAUGAACUCAUGAUCCAGACAUAUUACAGUCAACAAAUGGCCAAAUGUAGUUUUGAUAGAGAGGACAUCCUAUCAAAAAUUCAAAGUUACCUUACAUCCAA